This is a non-coding RNA of Salmo salar (Atlantic salmon), 68 nucleotides long. Lineage: Eukaryota; Metazoa; Chordata; Actinopteri; Salmoniformes; Salmonidae. The record is from Rfam.
CUGUACUCUACAGUGCAUGUGUCUCCAGUGAAUAUGAGCUACUGGAGAGGCAGCUCUGUGUGAGUAAC